This 529-nucleotide ribosomal RNA is filed under the name Rhotana obaerata. Its description in RNAcentral is "partial 16S ribosomal RNA". The stretch from base 386 to 529 matches the Rfam family "Bacterial large subunit ribosomal RNA", at positions 2473 to 2619 of the family's 2925-position model. Lineage: Eukaryota; Metazoa; Arthropoda; Insecta; Hemiptera; Derbidae. The record is from RNAcentral.
CGCCUGUUUAUCAAAAACAUGGUUUUUAGUUUUUAAUUUAAAAAUUUGGCUGCCCAAUGAUUCUAAAUAGCCGCAGGAAUUUAACUGUACAAAGGUAGCAUAAUAAUUAGUCUUUUAAUUUGAGUCUUGUAUGAAUGGUUUGACGAAAAAUAAUCUUUAUUUUUUUUUUUUUUAAUUUUAAUUUUGUGUUAAAAUGCAUAAAUUUUUAAGAGGGACGAUAAGACCCUAAAGAUCUUUAUUUAAUAAUUAUUUUAAUUUUUUUUAAUUUUUUUAUUUUAAUUUUUAAAUUUGGUUGGGGUGAUAAAUAAAUAUUUAAUCUUUUUUUUUUUUUUACAUUUUUUUAUGGUUAUUUGAGUUUUUAAAUUAAAAGAAAAGAUACCUUAGGGAUAACAGCGUUAUAAAAUUGGAUAGUUCAAAUUGAUAAUUUUGUUUGCGACCUCGAUGUUGGAUUAAUAAAAUGUAUGAGGUAGGUUUCAUAUUAUUAGGUCUGUUCGACUUUAAAAUUUUACAUGAUCUGAGUUCAGACCGG